AUUGAACGCUGGCGGCAUGCUUUACACAUGCAAGUCGGACGAGUGGCGUACGGGUGAGUUACGUAUCGGAACGUACCGAGUAAUUGGGGAUCACUAAUCGACAGUUUAGCUAAUACCGCAUAUUAUUCGAGCGGCCGGUAUCUGUUUAGCUGGUUGGUGGGGUAAAGGCAUACCAAGGCGACGAUCAGUAGCGGGUCUGAGAGGAUGAUCAGCCACACUGGGACUGAGACACGGCCCAGACUCCUACGGUAGGCAGCAGUGGGGAAUUUUGCACAAUGGGCGAAAGCCUGAUGCAGCCAUGCCGCGUGUAUGAAGAAGGCCCUAGGGUUGUAAAGCACUUUCAGUCGGGAGGCGUUACCGACAGAAGAAGCACCGGCUAACUCCGUGCCAGCAGCCGCGGUAAUAC
Molecule: ribosomal RNA, 406 nt
Filed under: uncultured bacterium
Lineage: Bacteria
Description: partial 16S ribosomal RNA
Rfam family: Bacterial small subunit ribosomal RNA
Source: RNAcentral